UGGCCAUUGGACCCUNUAUGUAGCUCUGGU
RNAcentral lists this non-coding RNA (30 nucleotides) under Rattus norvegicus (Norway rat). The record is from RNAcentral. Lineage: Eukaryota; Metazoa; Chordata; Mammalia; Rodentia; Muridae.